AUUGAACGCUGGCGGCAGGCCUAACACAUGCAAGUCGAACGGUAGCACAGAGAGCUUGCUCUCGGGUGACGAGUGGCGGACGGGUGAGUAAUGUCUGGGAAACUGCCCGAUGGAGGGGGAUAACUACUGGAAACGGUAGCUAAUACCGCAUAACGUCGCAAGACCAAAGUGGGGGGCCUUCGGGCCUCACACCAUCGGAUGUGCCCAGAUGGGAUUAGCUAGUAGGUGGGGUAAUGGCUCACCUAGGCGACGAUCCCUAGCUGGUCUGAGAGGAUGACCAGCCACACUGGAAAUGAGACACGGUCCAGACUCCUACGGGAGGCAGCAGUGGGGAAUAUUGCACAAUGGGCGCAAGCCUGAUGCAGCCAUGCCGCGUGUAUGAAGAAGGCCUUCGGGUUGUAAAGUACUUUCAGCGGGGAGGAAGGCGGUGAAGUUAAUAGCUUCACCGAUUGACGUUACCCGCAGAAGAAGCACCGGCUAACUCCGUGCCAGCAGCCGCCGUAA
Molecule: ribosomal RNA, 504 nt
Filed under: uncultured bacterium
Lineage: Bacteria
Description: partial 16S ribosomal RNA
Rfam family: Bacterial small subunit ribosomal RNA
Source: RNAcentral